CGAAUGCUGACGUGAGUAACGACAAAACGGGUGAAAAACCCGUUCGCCGAAAGACCAAGGGUUCCAGUCCAACGUUAAUCGGGGCUGGGUGAGUCGACCCCUAAGGCGAGGCCGAAAGGCGUAGUCGAUGGGAAAAUGGUUAAUAUUCCAUUACUUCUGUGUAAUGCGAUGAGAGGACGGAGAAGGCUAAAUCAGCCUGGCGUUGGUUGUCCAGGUGAAAGGAUGUAGGCAUGUAUCUUAGGCAAAUCCGGGGUACUCUAUGCUGAGAUCUGAUAGCAAGCUGUACUUGUACAGCGAAGUGGUUGAUGCCAUGCUUCCAGGAAAAGUCUCUAAGCUUCAGUUACACAGGAAUCGUACCCGAAACCGACACAGGUGGUCAGGUCGAGUAGACCAAGGCGCUUGAGAGAACUCUGCUGAAGGAACUAGGCAAAAUGGUACCGUAACUUCGGGAGAAGGUACGCUGUUGUUGGUGAUGGAACUCGCUUCCUGAGCUGACGACAGCCGCAGAAACCAGGCCGCUGCAACUGUUUAUUAAAAACAUAGCACUCUGCAAACACGAAAGUGGACGUAUAGGGUGUGAUGCCUGCCCGGUGCUGGAAGGUUAAUUGAUGGGGUUAGCGUAAGCGAAGCUCUUGAUCGAAGCCCCAGUAAACGGCGGCCGUAACUAUAACGGUCCUAAGGUAGCGAAAUUCCUUGUCGGGUAAGUUCCGACCUGCACGAAUGGCAUAAUGAUGGCGGCGCUGUCUCCAGCAGAGGCUCAGUGAAAUCGAAAUCGCUGUGAAGAUGCAGUGUACCCGCGGCUAGACGGAAAGACCCCGUGAACCUUUACUGCAGCUUGACACUGAACUUUGACCUUACUUGUGUAGGAUAGGUGGGAGGCUUUGAAGCUGGAACGCUAGUUCCAGUGGAGCCGUCCUUGAAAUACCACCCUGGUAAUGUUGAGGUUCUAACUCUGUCCCGUGAUCCGGGACGAGGACCGUGUCUGGUGGGUAGUUUGACUGGGGCGGUCUCCUCCUAAAGAGUAACGGAGGAGUACGAAGGUGCGCUCAGCGUGGUCGGAAAUCACGCGUAGAGUAUAAAGGCAAAAGCGCGCUUAACUGCGAGACCCACAAGUCGAGCAGGUACGAAAGUAGGUCUUAGUGAUCCGGUGGUUCUGUAUGGAAGGGCCAUCGCUCAACGGAUAAAAGGUACUCUGGGGAUAACAGGCUGAUACCGCCCAAGAGUUCAUAUCGACGGCGGUGUUUGGCACCUCGAUGUCGGCUCAUCUCAUCCUGGGGCUGAAGCAGGUCCCAAGGGUAUGGCUGUUCGCCAUUU
This 1314-nucleotide ribosomal RNA is filed under the name Acinetobacter baumannii. Its description in RNAcentral is "partial 23S ribosomal RNA". It matches the Rfam family "Bacterial large subunit ribosomal RNA", at positions 1291 to 2589 of the family's 2925-position model. The record is from RNAcentral. Lineage: Bacteria; Pseudomonadati; Pseudomonadota; Gammaproteobacteria; Moraxellales; Moraxellaceae.